This 352-nucleotide long non-coding RNA is filed under the name Sorghum bicolor (sorghum). Its description in RNAcentral is "long non-coding RNA (SBIC_LNC007070)". The record is from RNAcentral. Lineage: Eukaryota; Viridiplantae; Streptophyta; Magnoliopsida; Poales; Poaceae.
CUGUCGUGAAGAUAGGGCCACCCUAGCACCGAUUCAUAUCGGUACCCUAUCAACUAGUAUCAAAGCUUUCGUUGUCACGGUGCAUCUUACAAACAUCCACAUAUUUAUCUUUAGUAUAUCAAUCAUUUGUUACUGAUUUGUUCAUCACCUAUAGUCCACUGAAAAAGCCACAAAAAAUCCUAAAGCCCUUUGACGGUACUGUUAUCUUGUGUUUUGUGUUCAUCAAGUUGCUAGUCACCCUCUUUACAUAUAUUGUGUUGUGUUUCAUUUGCUAUCCGCACCCCUGUUAGUAUAAAAAAAGGGUUAAGAAAAGUCAGAAAAAAACAGAGAAAAGAAAAGAGAAAGAACAGGA